RNAcentral lists this long non-coding RNA (207 nucleotides) under Helianthus annuus (common sunflower). Its description in RNAcentral is "sRNA HanXRQr2_Chr01g0018571". Lineage: Eukaryota; Viridiplantae; Streptophyta; Magnoliopsida; Asterales; Asteraceae. The record is from RNAcentral.
AUGUUGAUGGUGGAGAAGUCACGACAGCAGUGGUUUUGUGGUACUUGAAUCUUCGUCUCAAUCAUUCCCUACGCCAUCUAAUGUUUUACAGAGAUGUUGAAAUAAGAUGCAAAUAGUGGAAAAGUGUCGUCUGAUGUACCUGCUGCACUCAAAGAAUUGAAUGAAUAUGUUGAUGAUUUUACCUUAGCAGAUUCCUCAGGUUAUUUU